UACGGGGGGAGCAAGCGUUGUUCGGAUUUACUGGGCGUAAAGGGCGCGUAGGCGGUCGUGACAAGUCACUUGUGAAAUCUCCGGGCUUAACUCGGAACGGUCAAGUGAUACUGUCGGACUAGAGUACAGAAGGGGCAACUGGAAUUCUCGGUGUAGCGGUGAAAUGCGUAGAUAUCGAGAGGAACACCUGCGGCGAAGGCGGGUUGCUGGGCUGAUACUGACGCUGAGGCGCGGAAGCCAGGGGAGCGAACGGG
RNAcentral lists this ribosomal RNA (254 nucleotides) under uncultured bacterium. RNAcentral describes it as "partial 16S ribosomal RNA". It matches the Rfam family "Bacterial small subunit ribosomal RNA", at positions 524 to 776 of the family's 1533-position model. The record is from RNAcentral.